RNAcentral lists this signal recognition particle RNA (81 nucleotides) under pig gut metagenome. RNAcentral describes it as "Bacterial small signal recognition particle RNA". It matches the Rfam family "Bacterial small signal recognition particle RNA", at positions 9 to 86 of the family's 97-position model. From Rfam's summary of the family: The signal recognition particle (SRP) is a universally conserved ribonucleoprotein involved in the co-translational targeting of proteins to membranes. Archaeal SRP consists of a 7S RNA and homologues of the eukaryotic SRP19 and SRP54 proteins. The record is from RNAcentral.
CCAUCGCGAUGGAUAUCUAUGAACCAGGUCAGGGCAGGAAUGCAGCAGCCUUAAGUAUCUUAUUCAUGUGCGGUGGUUUGU